This 467-nucleotide ribosomal RNA is filed under the name uncultured bacterium. RNAcentral's name for it is "bacterial SSU rRNA". It matches the Rfam family "Bacterial small subunit ribosomal RNA", at positions 32 to 507 of the family's 1533-position model. The record is from RNAcentral.
AAUCAACGCUGGCGGCGUGCCUCAGACAUGCAAGUCGAGCGAUUAAAGCUCUCUUCGGAGAGUGCAUAGAGUGGCGCACGGGUGAGUAACACGUAAGUAAUCUACCUUCGAGUGGGGAAUAACGUCCGGAAACGGGCGCUAAUACCGCAUAAUGCAGCGGCAUCGCAAGAUGACAGUUGUUAAAGGAGCAAUCCGCUUGAAGAGGAGCUUGCGGCAGAUUAGCUAGUUGGUAGGGUAAUGGCCUACCAAGGCUACGAUCUGUAACCGGUCUUAGAGGACGGUCGGUUACACUGACACUGAAUAACGGGUCAGACUCCUACGGGAGGCAGCAGUCGGGAAUUUUGGGCAAUGGGGGAAACCCUGACCCAGCAACGCCGCGUGAAGGAUGAAGUAUUUCGGUAUGUAAACUUCGAAAGAAUAGGAAGAAUUAAUGACGGUACUAUUUAUAAGGUCCGGCUAACUACGUG